Molecule: ribosomal RNA, 492 nt
Filed under: uncultured bacterium
Lineage: Bacteria
Description: partial 16S ribosomal RNA
Rfam family: Bacterial small subunit ribosomal RNA
Source: RNAcentral
AUUGAACGCUGGCGGCAUGUCUUACACAUGCAAGUCGAACGGUAACAGGUUAAGCUGACGAGAGGCGAACGGGUGAGUAAUAUAUCGGAACGUGCCCAGUCGUGGGGAUAACUGCUCGAAAGAGCAGCUAAUACCGCAUACGACCUGAGGGUGAAAGCGGGGGAUCGCAAGACCUCGCGCGAUUGGAGCGGCCGAUAUCAGAUUAGCUAGUUGGUGGGGUAAAAGCCUACCAAGGCAACGAUCUGUAGCUGGUCUGAGAGGACGACCAGCCACACUGGGACUGAGACACGGCCCAGACUCCUACGGGAGGCAGCAGUGGGGAAUUUUGGACAAUGGACGAAAGUCUGAUCCAGCCAUGCCGCGUGCGGGAAGAAGGCCUUCGGGUUGUAAACCGCUUUUGUCAGGGAAGAAAAGGUUCUGGUUAAUACCUGGGACUCAUGACGGUACCUGAAGAAUAAGCACCGGCUAACUACGUGCCAGCCGCCGCAGUAA